RNAcentral lists this ribosomal RNA (232 nucleotides) under uncultured bacterium. Its description in RNAcentral is "partial 16S ribosomal RNA". It matches the Rfam family "Bacterial small subunit ribosomal RNA", at positions 99 to 334 of the family's 1533-position model. The record is from RNAcentral.
CGGACGGGUGAGUAAUGUCUGGGAAACUGCCUGAUGGAGGGGGAUAACUACUGGAAACGGUAGCUAAUACCGCAUAACGUCGCAAGACCAAAGAGGGGGACCUUAGGGCCUCUUGCCAUCGGAUGUGCCCAGAUGGGAUUAGCUAGUAGGUGGGGUAGCGGCUCACCUAGGCGACGAUCCCUAGCUGGUCUGAGAGGAUGACCAGCCACACUGGAACUGAGACACGGUCCAG